GACGAACGCUGGCGGCGUGCUUAACACAUGCAAGUCGAACGGAAAGGCCCUGCUUUUGUGGGGUGCUCGAGUGGCGAACGGGUGAGUAACACGUGAGUAACCUGCCCUUGACUUUGGGAUAACUUCAGGAAACUGGGGCUAAUACCGGAUAGGAGCUCCUGCUGCAUGGUGGGGGUUGGAAAGUUUCGGCGGUUGGGGAUGGACUCGCGGCUUAUCAGCUUGUUGGUGGGGUAGUGGCUUACCAAGGCUUUGACGGGUAGCCGGCCUGAGAGGGUGACCGGCCACAAUAGGACUGAGAUACGGCCCAGACUCCUACGGGAGGCAGCAGUGGGGAACAUUGCGCAAUGGGCGGAAGCCUGAUGCAGCAACGCCGCGUGCGGGAUGACGGCCUUCGGGUUGUAAACCGCUUUCGCCUGUGACGAAGCGUGAGUGACGGUAAUGGGUAAAGAAGCACCGGCUAACUACGUG
This 468-nucleotide ribosomal RNA is filed under the name uncultured bacterium. RNAcentral describes it as "partial 16S ribosomal RNA". It matches the Rfam family "Bacterial small subunit ribosomal RNA", at positions 28 to 507 of the family's 1533-position model. The record is from RNAcentral.